CUUCCAUGAUCCUAUGCUGCCGAGAAAAGCCUCUAGCGAGCUGGUACAUGGCCCGUACCCCAAACCGACACAGGUGGUCAGGUAGAGAAUACUAAGGCGAUCGAGAGAACUGUGGUUAAGGAACUCGGCAAAAUGCCCCCGUAACUUCGGGAGAAGGGGGACCAGUCCUGGUGACGACAUUUACUGUCUGAGCUGGGGUUGGUCGCAGAGACCAGAGAGAAGCGACUGUUUACUAAAAACACAGGUCCGUGCGAAGUCGUAAGACGAUGUAUACGGACUGACGCCUGCCCGGUGCUGGAAGGUUAAGAGGACCGGUCAGCCACUUCGGUGGCGAAGCUGAGAAUUUAAGCCCCAGUAAACGGCGGUGGUAACUAUAACCAUCCUAAGGUAGCGAAAUUCCUUGUCGGGUAAGUUCCGACCUGCACGAAUGGCGUAACGACUUCUCUGCUGUCUCAACCACAGACUCGGCGAAAUUGCAGUACGAGUAAAGAUGCUCGUUACGCGCGGCAGGACGAAAAGACCCCGGGACCUUCACUAUAGCUUGGUAUUGGUGUUCGGUUCGGUUUGUGUAGGAUAGGUGGGAGACUGUGAAACUCGCACGCCAGUGUGGGUGGAGUCAUUGUUGAAAUACCACUCUGACCGUAUUGGACAUCUAACCUCGGACCAUGAUCUGGUUCAGGGACAGUGCCUGGUGGGUAGUUUAACUGGGGCGGUUGCCUCCCAAAAAGUAACGGAGGCGCCCAAAGGCUCCCUCAGCCUGGUUGGCAAUCAGGUGUUGAGUGUAAGUGCACGAGGGAGCUUGACUGUGAGACGUACAUGUCGAGCAGGGACGGAAGUCGGGACUAGUGAUCCGGCACCGGCAAGUGGAAGCGGUGUCGCUCAACGGAUAAAAGGUACCCCGGGGAUAACAGGCUGAUCUUCCCCAAGAGUCCAUAUCGACGGGAUGGUUUGGCACCUCGAUGUCGGCUCGUCGCAUCCUGGGGCUGGAGUAGGUCCCAAGGGUUGGGCUGUUCGCCCAUUAAAGCGGCACGCGAGCUGGGUUUAGAACGUCGUGAGACAGUUCGGUCUCUAUCCGCCGCGCGCGUAAGAAACUUGAGGAAACCUGUCCCUAGUACGAGAGGACCGGGACGGACGAACCUCUGGUGUGCCAGUUGUUCCACCAGGAGCACCGCUGGUUAGCUACGUUCGGAAGGGAUAACCGCUGAAAGCAUCUAAGCGGGAAGCCUGUUCCAAGAUGAGGUUUCUCACCACCUAGCGUGGUUAAGGCCCCCCACAGACCAUGGGGUUGAUAGGCCAGAACUGUAAGCACAGCAAUGUGUUCAGGUGACUGGUACUAAUCGGCCGAGGACC
Molecule: ribosomal RNA, 1350 nt
Filed under: metagenome
Description: bacterial LSU rRNA
Rfam family: Bacterial large subunit ribosomal RNA
Source: RNAcentral